GCCGAACUCAGGCGAACCAGCCGGCGCGGCUUCAUGAGCCGUAGGUCGUUGGUUCGAGUCCAACCACCG
This 69-nucleotide transfer RNA is filed under the name Myxococcales bacterium. RNAcentral's name for it is "tRNA-Met". Lineage: Bacteria; Pseudomonadati; Myxococcota; Myxococcia; Myxococcales. The record is from RNAcentral.